RNAcentral lists this ribosomal RNA (864 nucleotides) under uncultured bacterium. RNAcentral describes it as "bacterial SSU rRNA". It matches the Rfam family "Bacterial small subunit ribosomal RNA", at positions 58 to 916 of the family's 1533-position model. The record is from RNAcentral.
CAAGUCGUGGGGCAGCAGGGGUGUAGCAAUACAUCUGCUGGCGACCGGCAAACGGGUGCGUAACACGUACGCAACCUUCCCGUUACUGUGGCAUAGCCCAGGGAAACUUGGAUUAAUACCACAUAUUAUAUUGAGGGGGCAUCCUCUUGAUAUCAAAGCUUCGGCGGUAACGGAUGGGCGUGCGGUUGAUUAGGUAGUUGGCGGGGUAACGGCCCACCAAGCCUACGAUCAAUAGCUGAUGUGAGAGCAUGAUCAGCCACACGGGCACUGAGACACGGGCCCGACUCCUACGGGAGGCAGCAGUAAGGAAUAUUGGGCAAUGGACGAAAGUCUGACCCAGCCAUGCCGCGUGAAGGAUUAAGGUCCCCUGGAUUGUAAACUUCUUUUCUCUGGGGCGAAAAACAGCUAUUCUUAGUUGCUUGACAGUACCAGAGGAAUAAGCACCGGCUAACUCCGUGCCAGCAGCCGCGGUAAUACGGAGGGUGCAAGCGUUAUCCGGAUUCACUGGGUUUAAAGGGUGCGUAGGUGGGCCAGUAAGUCAGUGGUGAAAUCCCCGAGCUUAACUCGGGAACUGCCGUUGAUACUAUUGGUCUUGAAUAUCGUGGAGGUAAGCGGAAUAUGUCAUGUAGCGGUGAAAUGCUUAGAUAUGACAUAGAACACCGAUUGCGAAGGCAGCUUGCUACACGGUCAUUGACACUGAGGCACGAAAGCGUGGGGAUCAAACAGGAUUAGAUACCCUGGUAGUCCACGCCCUAAACUAUGGAUACUCGACAUCAGCGAUACACAGUUGGUGUCUGAGCGAAAGCAUUAAGUAUCCCACCUGGGAAGUACGAUCGCAAGAUUGAAACUCAAAGGAAUUGGCGG